Molecule: unclassified non-coding RNA, 150 nt
Filed under: uncultured Chaetosphaeria
Lineage: Eukaryota; Fungi; Ascomycota; Sordariomycetes; Chaetosphaeriales; Chaetosphaeriaceae
Description: sequence contains ITS2
Source: RNAcentral
CAACCCUCAGGCCCUGCCUGGUGUUGAGGACUGCGCACGCAGCCUCCCAAAGCAAGCGGCGGCGGCGCCCCAUAACCGAACGCAGUAGUUACAUCUCGUUCUGGGUCUGGGUCGUUGUCCUGCCGGAAAACCCCCAUCUUUUUUUAAUGG